UACGAAGGGGGCUAGCGUUGUUCGGAAUUACUGGGCGUAAAGCGCACGUAGGCGGAUUGUUAAGUGAGGGGUGAAAUCCCAGGGCUCAACCCUGGAACUGCCUUUCAUACUGGCAAUCUAGAGUCCGGAAGAGGUGAGUGGAAUUCCGAGUGUAGAGGUGAAAUUCGUAGAUAUUCGGAGGAACACCAGUGGCGAAGGCGGCUCACUGGUCCGGUACUGACGCUGAGGUGCGAAAGCGUGGGGAGCAAACAGGAUUAGAAACCCGUGUAGUCC
RNAcentral lists this ribosomal RNA (273 nucleotides) under uncultured prokaryote. RNAcentral describes it as "partial 16S ribosomal RNA". It matches the Rfam family "Bacterial small subunit ribosomal RNA", at positions 524 to 796 of the family's 1533-position model. The record is from RNAcentral.